This 218-nucleotide ribosomal RNA is filed under the name uncultured bacterium. Its description in RNAcentral is "partial 16S ribosomal RNA". It matches the Rfam family "Bacterial small subunit ribosomal RNA", at positions 132 to 334 of the family's 1533-position model. The record is from RNAcentral.
UUCAUUGGGGAAUAACUCUCCGAAAGGAGAGCUAAUACCGCAUAAGACCACAGACACUACGGUGUCAGGGGUUAAAGGGGACCACUUCUUGAAAGUUCUCGAUGAAUGAUGAGUCUGCGUCCGAUUAGCUAGUUGGUGAGGUAAAGGCUCACCAAGGCGAUGAUCGGUAACUGGUCUGAGAGGACGACCAGUCACACUGGAACUGAGACACGGUCCAG